RNAcentral lists this non-coding RNA (28 nucleotides) under Rattus norvegicus (Norway rat). Lineage: Eukaryota; Metazoa; Chordata; Mammalia; Rodentia; Muridae. The record is from RNAcentral.
GGGAUACAAUCGAUAUCUUCUUAUGGAU